Molecule: non-coding RNA, 118 nt
Organism: Pteropus alecto (black flying fox)
Lineage: Eukaryota; Metazoa; Chordata; Mammalia; Chiroptera; Pteropodidae
Source: Rfam
GUCUACACCAUGCUACCCUGAACAAGCCCAGUACCGUCUGAUCUCGGAAGCUAAGCAGGGUCAGGCCUGGUUAGUACUUGGAUGGGAGACCACCUAGGAAGACCAGGUGUUGUAGGUG